GAGGCCGGAACUAAAGGGUGCCAGCUGCUGUACAACCCGGCUCUUUUAAGACGUUGCUCCACAGUUUUAAUGUGUGGAUUAUAGCGAUGCGGGCUUGAGCAGCCGUUGCUUCCGGUGUGGGCGAGGCCUGGUGAACUGUGUGGAAAGGCGGAGGGGAAAGGUUCCCGUCAUGGCGGCUGUCAACGGUCUCGUCGCAGCAGCGCGACAUUUAUGCCGGGGUGCCUAUUGGGCAGGGACACGACUGCUCUGGGAGGCUCCGAAAAUGAGAUGCGGCUGGCAGCGCCGAGCUUUCUCGAGACAAGGAGGCAGUGGCGGCAGAAGCGAGGUGCUUGGAAAAUCUGGAAUUUUCAGAAGAGGACUUGCAUUCUCAGCACUGUCUGUCUUGGGUUAUGAAGCAUACACAUUAAUCUCUCAAUCUGCUGUGGUUCAUGCUAACGUCCAAGUGGAUGAAGUCCUGGAUCAAGCAGAUUACCUGUAUGGGAGUGGGGAAACUGAAAAACUCUAUCAGUUGUUGAACCAACACAAAAACAGUGAGAAUGCUGAGUUAUUGUGGCGCCUGGCUCGAGCAUUACGUGACGUAGCUCAGCUUAGUCAUACUUCUGCGGAGAAAAAGAAGGAGUUGACAUACGAAGCCCUUGAUUAUGCAAAGAAGGCGCUUGAAAAAGACCCAUCAAUUUUUGCAGUGCACAAGUGGUAUGCAAUCUGCAUCAGUGAUGUGGGAGAUUACGAAGGAAUAAAGACAAAAAUUGCAAAUGCCUAUGUUAUCAAAGAACACUUCCAGAAAGCAAUUGAACUGAAUCCAAAGGAUGCUACAUCACUUCACCUUAUGGGCAUUUGGUGUUUCACAUUUGCUGAAAUGCCAUGGUAUCAGAGCAAAAUAGCUGCAGUUUUAUUCUCAACGCCCCCAAGCUCGACCUAUGAAGAGGCUUUACGUUACUUCCAGAAAGCUGAAGAUGUUGAGCCAAACUUCUAUAGUAAAAACUUGCUCUUUUUGGGAAAAGCAUACAUGAAGUUAAACAACAGAAAGUUGGCCCUUUUAUGGCUAACAAAGGCCAAAGAACGGUUGGCGCAUACAGAGGAUGAUAAACAGGCUGGCAGAUAGAGGGCAGAAGAUGAGUGCCCCCCCCCCGCCCGUCCAGCUGUGAUUGCUUAAAAGAACAAGAAGUUCUGGUACAAAAAGAAGCUGUGGAAUUACUAAACUCUCUGUGACAAAGUGACUAAGUAUGGACUGCUAUGGUCUAUUCCAUACAGAUCAAAGAGCCUGUGGUGCUUCCCUGUCCCUGGCACAUUAACAUGUGGAAGCUCAGGUUUUCUGAGAAGUAGCACUUUCCCAACUUUUUUUGAUCAGGCAAAUUCUAAAUGGCUUGGGACCUGGAAACCUUAAAUACUGCCUUCUUCCAAAUGUGCCCGCCUGUGCACUCGUAAGUCCUGCUGUGGAUCACCCACCAACAGAGAUCUGGCAGCUGGGUACAAGGAGCAGGACCUUUUUGGCUCUGGCGCUAGUGCUCUGGAAUGACAUACAGGGAAGCCUCUCUGGCCUCAUCACGACUUGCUUUCUGGCAGCAGUAAAGGCUCCUUUAAAAGGGCCUUUGAAGAAGAAUUGAUUCUAUUAUUUUGCUUCAGUAUUGUGUUAUAUCUCGUCAUUAAUCUAUUGUUCCUCUCUUCCUUUAGCUAUUUGGGGUUUCCGAAGAAGUUGAAGUGUGCUAGAAAUUUUUUAAAAAAUAAAUAAGAUGGCAGGUGUGAUUUCUAAAACAGGGGCAAUACAUUGCUCUUCCCUAGGAAGCAUGUCUGCCUGUGAAUGCUUAAUUGCCUGUCCAUAUGACUUUCUGAACAUGUGGAGAGAAAUACAUAACGAAUACUAUGAAGUAUGACUACUUCCAUAGUGGGAUGACAUAGAAGUUUUAGAGGAAGACAAGACACUUAAAACAAUCUACAGCAAAGCCUUUGAAAGUUGUAGAAUGCAGGGAUCCUUCACACUGAUGCCAAAAUUUUACAAACUCUUCCUGUUUCCUCCCUCUCCCCCACCCUGCCGCUGCCACCAUGAGUUUAUUAACCUAAAGAAGCAUGGGCCGUCUGAGUCCUCUCACCCAGUGCGCCCAGGUAAUCCUGGGAAAUGAGAUGCUGCAGCAACAGGACUCUCCAGAUGCAGCACUAACUCUUCAAAGUUUCUCUCUUCUGCCCAGGAUUUCUCACUCUGUGUGUACACUUCCUUUUGGAGUUGCAAAUGGAUUAUAUCCAAAUGGAAACGCAAAACAAAUGAGAGUGAGUCUCACUAGCCAGCAUUUACACUCUAGGCUCUUAUUCCUUUUCCUCAAAACCAGAAGAUUCACAAUCUUCUUUGGAAGACUUCUAAGUGGGGAACUUUACAUCUCAUUCUACAUGUUCAAGAACAAUUCCAAAGGUAUUGUUAGGUACUGGUACCAGGCUGCCUUAUUUUGCUAUUUUUCUGCAUUUGCCUGGAUGGUCUCCAUUGCUGGAGAGCAAUUAACCUUCUGGUUUCAAGCAGGGAAAACUAUGGCUUCCUCAAUGAUCAUGGGGAAAGCACCUUAAUUAACUGAAUCUCCCUAAGAAUUUGUGUUUAUAUGAUGAUCUGUGCCUGAAGUACAACAGCCUCCUCUUGCAAAGGGUAUGUUUUCUGAACCCUUCAUAGAUAUAAAACAGCAGCAAAUCUAUGUAAUCAGUCCUCCCAAGCCCAUCACUAGGGAUGGUUCGUGCAUUGGUUUGGUGCCAAACCAGUUCGGAGGAGAUCCAAACCACUUCAGCGCCACAGGGAAGGGAGUGGGAGCUUUAAAAAAGAGAGUAGGUCCGCCACUGCAUGUAGCUUCCUGAUGCGGCACCACCAAGGACCUGCGUGUUGUGCCAGGACGCACAUGCAUGGGCGCCAUUUGCAUGGUCAGCAUGGUGUUGCUGACCAUGCAAAUGGCACCCGCGGAUGCCAUGAGCAUCCCGGUGCCGAACACGGGUUCUGGGGAAGAGCACUGCCACAGUAAGAAGUUGCAUGUGGCAGCAGAGAGCAGGUAAGUACCUGCUCGCCUCCUUUUUUUAAAUUUUAAAGCUCUUGUUCCCCUCCCUGUGAUGCCGAACCAAUGCACAAACCUCGGUUUGUGCACAUCCAUACCCAUCUCUUCUUGUAGUUUUUCUUUAUCCAUUGACAGUGUCAUCAUCCACCCUAUGUGCUGAACUGGCACAAAGUAUUGGUUUUAUCUUAGAUUCAUCUCUGUCCUUUCCCCAUUUCCAGCCUGUAGUUGAUUCAUGUCACAUCCCCCUGUGCAAUAUUGCAAAAAUGCAGCUUUUCCUCUCUGCCCCCCCAGCAAAAGCUCUCAUUCACAUCCUGGUUAUCUCCCACUCUGGCUACUGUAUCUGCAUUCUAUUGUCUUCCUUUGUCUCACCUCAGCCUCUCCACCAGCAUUCAUCAGCAUUUUAUUGCCAAAAUCAUUCGUGUCUCUCAUCACUCUGAUUACAUUAAACUCUUUGACUUCCUUAUGAUUCUUGUCUUUACCAUGAAAGACCUUUGUGACCUUGCUCCUCAUCUCUAUCUCCUCAUUUCCCAUUACACCUUUGCUCCUUCAGCUUUGCUACUCUCAGCCAUCUGAAUGUCCCAUUCCCUCAAACACCUGCCCUUUCACCCUAUAACUCAGUCUCCCAGAUCCAGAAAGUAUGAUGCUUUUAUUACUUCCUUCAAAUCUCUCUGCAGAACCCACUACACCCCCCGCCCCUGUAGCCUUUGGCAUAAUCUCCUAAUUCUUAUAUCAUACUGCCAGCAAGCCAAAUAUGUGUGUGUAUAAAAUAUAAUUUUCUGACUAAAAUAUAUUAUUUUUACUUUAAUAGCCUCAAUCCAUGAUGCAUAUAAUACAUGGAGAUAUACUUUUUUAGAGCAAAGAAACAGCUGCUUUAUAGAGCUGCUUCUUUCUUUGCCCCUCAGCCACACGUUCCUGCCCUCUCCUCGCACCAGUGGGCUCAAAUCAGCUCUGAAUGAUUGGACAAUCAUUCCUCUCAGUGAUCUGCGCCUGUCUGGUUUCCCUCCAUUUUCUUUUUAAAACCUAGCUCUGCAUACAAUACAUGUAACUAGAAAUUAUGGUGAUUGCAUAUUCAUUCCAUUUACUUGGCCUCCACUCCCCGUUCUCUGUCAUCUUGCCUGUGUUGGUUUCUAGAUUGUGAGCCCUCUAGGGCAGGGACCAGUUCUUUCCAUCAGUUGGAGGCACUGUUUACAAGGCUGGCACAUCAUAUAUAAUGUUUUGCCUACUAAAGACAACAUGGUGCACCUUA
Hemicordylus capensis (graceful crag lizard) is the source of this 4266-nucleotide RNA transcript. It is a transcript of the gene named regulator of microtubule dynamics 1, with no coding region annotated. The record is from RefSeq and is a predicted model, not a curated record. NCBI's taxonomy places the organism in Eukaryota, Metazoa, Chordata, Lepidosauria, Squamata, Cordylidae. The transcript has 11 exons.